This is a long non-coding RNA of Belonocnema kinseyi, 1897 nucleotides long. RefSeq lists it as uncharacterized. NCBI's taxonomy places the organism in Eukaryota, Metazoa, Arthropoda, Insecta, Hymenoptera, Cynipidae. The transcript is spliced from 5 exons. The record is from RefSeq and is a predicted model, not a curated record.
AUAAUAUCCUCAGCUUCUGCUCGAGGCAAUAUCGUUGCUCCAGGAAACAGUCUUACUGUCGUCAGAAGGUUGUAUAAUGUAGAAAUGAUCAAUGGGAUAUUUUCUCACUUUCGAAGAUCAACUUUAGUGACAACUAUUUCUGUUUACUAUGUUAUUUUCGGUUAUCAAUAAUUCAAUGUCAAAAAUUUUUAUUAUAAAUUAAAACACGUCAAACGAUAUUCAUAUUUUGGUUCUCAUGUUAACAACUUCAAACGUUCAUGGUAAAGUUGAAUUACCAAGCGUGACAUUACAAUUGUUGACAGCCGACAAAAAGUUUGCAGGAAUAUGGAUUUGGAUGUGAAAAAUGGUAAUAUAAUAGUAUGAUAAUGAAGAAAAUAUUCAUUUACAAAUUUCCUUCUCCUACAUUAUUACAUUGUCCAACUGCCUAACGACAAAGAAUAUUUCCUGGAUCUUUGAUAUUGCCUCGAGCAGAAUCACAAUUUUCAAGAAAAAAGGAUAGGUUUCAAGACAUAGAGUGCCCAAAUUUUAGAUAUGGUUCAUGCAAUACUCCCUCACAAUAGCUUUUGAUCACAAUACAAGAAAAAUUUGCCUAUUUUAGAAGUACAGAAGUUCCGAAAAAUUAAUUCUGCUGCAUGGAACAAAAAAUGUUGCUAUUUUUAUGAGCUUCAUGUAAAUCUAAGGAAUUAAUGCACAUUCGAAUUUCAUCAUGGGGCCAUUUGAAAUUUUGUGCACUUCCGCAGGAAUCUUGCUCUUGCUUUAUUACUACAUUACAUCUAAUCAUGAUUUUUGGAAAAUUCGAGGUGUCCAAAUUUUCGGACCGUGGAUUAAAAAUUCACGAACAAGGGAAAAUUAGAGAAAUAACACCGUGGUUAUAUGAUUUUCUUGGAACCCUUGUAGCGACGGCUGAAAUAAACAACUUUUUCAUCAACUUAAUUAAGGACACGAUGCAGUACAGAAAGGAAAAUAAUGUCGUGAGGCAUGACUUUGUUGAUUCAUUGAGACAUGUGAAAGAAAAUCCUAAUAGAUUAGGUGAUAUAGAUACUUCGAGUCAAGACAAACUGAAAAGAAAUUCAACAAGAAAUAAAGGAGACUGGUGGAAAAUUUAUUUACGACCGUCUGAAACAUAUGAAAUAUCUACACAAGGUCUUUAAAGAAACUCUUAGAAAGUAUCCACCAAUAACGGUACUAAUGAGGAACUCAACAGAAAAAUACACAUUUUCUGGUACUACUGUGACAGUUCCAAAAGACCAGAGAAUUUGGAUACCCAUCUACGCUAUUCAACGUCAUCCAAACAAUUAUCCAGAUCCAGAUACAUUUGAUCCAGAUUUAAUGAUGAGGCAGCGCAAAGAAUACAUCCAAUGCAUCACUUAUCUUUUGGAAGUGGUCCCAGAAAUUGCAUUGGUAAUUAUUUUGUUAAAACAUUUCUUUGUCAGAACAGAAAUUGUGUAGGGAUAAGGCGACUUUAUCUCCCAGAAGUCCUCUUCUUGAAAUGUGAAGAAUAUAUGAGACAUGUCACAUCUCCUCGUCUUUACCUGAGAAAGAAUUAAAACUCUUGUCUAGGGAAAAGGAAAGAAGUCAAAGGAGUGGGUAGAUUGAAGAAGGUGGUAUCUGAAAAGUACAAGAGAAAAGGUAGUAUGUGAUUGGUGCAGGGGAAAAGGAGGUAUUUGAGCGGUGGAAGGUGAAUAGUGGCAACUUGCUUCCUGAAACAGAGCUAACAACAUAUUUUUAUAAUAUAGAGAUUAUAAAAAACAAGUAUUUUUAUUUCAGGAGAAAGAUUUGCAGUCUCUCAAACAAAAAUACUGAACUUUUUGUAUUCCAUAUUCAUAUAUGGAUUAUGAACAUAGGGCAUAGCAGUUUUCUCACAGACGUCAACUUUAUAAUCCUUCAAUAUUUUGAU